CUUGUAAGUUCAACAAAAGUGCAGUCGUAGCCACAGUUAAGGGUUAUAAAGACCUUCCAAAAUCUGAACAAAGUUUAAUGGAUGUCGUAUCUAACGUGGGCCCUAUUUCGGCCGCUUUAAGGACAGACGAGACAUCCUUUCAAUUGUACAAAGGCGGGUUAUAUGACGAGCCCAACUGUAAAUCCAAAGUUGAUCAUCCCCUUGUAAUAGUCGGGUACGGUCUUAUGGAUGGUAAAAAAUAGUGGAUUGCUAAAAAUAGCUGGGGUACAUCAUGGGGAAAUAAAGGAUACAUAUUGAUAACGAAGAAUAAAAAUAACCAAUGUGGUAUUGCCAACAGCCUUAGUUACCCCAUUAUGUGAUGAAUAUCAUAUGACACUGCAUUUGCUUGAUGUUCUUAAUUUCAAUUAUCU
This is a long non-coding RNA of Saccostrea cuccullata (small rock oyster), 410 nucleotides long. RefSeq lists it as uncharacterized. The record is from RefSeq and is a predicted model, not a curated record. Lineage: Eukaryota; Metazoa; Mollusca; Bivalvia; Ostreida; Ostreidae. The transcript has 3 exons.